RNAcentral lists this ribosomal RNA (1372 nucleotides) under uncultured bacterium. RNAcentral's name for it is "bacterial SSU rRNA". It matches the Rfam family "Bacterial small subunit ribosomal RNA", at positions 28 to 1381 of the family's 1533-position model. The record is from RNAcentral.
GAUGAACGCUGGCGGCGUGCCUAAUACAUGCAAGUCGAGCGAACGGACGAGAAGCUUGCUUCUCUGAUGUUAGCGGCGGACGGGUGAGUAACACGUGGAUAACCUACCUAUAAGACUGGGAUAACUUCGGGAAACCGGAGCUAAUACCGGAUAAUAUUUUGAACCGCAUGGUUCAAAAGUGAAAGACGGUCUUGCUGUCACUUAUAGAUGGAUCCGCGCUGCAUUAGCUAGUUGGUAAGGUAACGGCUUACCAAGGCAACGAUGCAUAGCCGACCUGAGAGGGUGAUCGGCCACACUGGAACUGAGACACGGUCCAGACUCCUACGGGAGGCAGCAGUAGGGAAUCUUCCGCAAUGGGCGAAAGCCUGACGGAGCAACGCCGCGUGAGUGAUGAAGGUCUUCGGAUCGUAAAACUCUGUUAUUAGGGAAGAACAUAUGUGUAAGUAACUGUGCACAUCUUGACGGUACCUAAUCAGAAAGCCACGGCUAACUACGUGCCAGCAGCCGCGGUAAUACGUAGGUGGCAAGCGUUAUCCGGAAUUAUUGGGCGUAAAGCGCGCGUAGGCGGUUUUUUAAGUCUGAUGUGAAAGCCCGCGGCCCAACCGUGGAGGGUCAUUGGAAACUGGAAAACUUGAGUGCAGAAGAGGAAAGUGGAAUUCCAUGUGUAGCGGUGAAAUGCGCAGAGAUAUGGAGGAACACCAGUGGCGAAGGCGACUUUCUGGUCUGUAACUGACGCUGAUGUGCGAAAGCGUGGGGAUCAAACAGGAUUAGAUACCCUGGUAGUCCACGCCGUAAACGAUGAGUGCUAAGUGUUAGGGGGUUUCCGCCCCUUAGUGCUGCAGCUAACGCAUUAAGCACUCCGCCUGGGGAGUACGACCGCAAGGUUGAAACUCAAAGGAAUUGACGGGGACCCGCACAAGCGGUGGAGCAUGUGGUUUAAUUCGAAGCAACGCGAAGAACCUUACCAAAUCUUGACAUCCUUUGACAACUCUAGAGAUAGAGCCUUCCCCUUCGGGGGACAAAGUGACAGGUGGUGCAUGGUUGUCGUCAGCUCGUGUCGUGAGAUGUUGGGUUAAGUCCCGCAACGAGCGCAACCCUUAAGCUUAGUUGCCAUCAUUAAGUUGGGCACUCUAAGUUGACUGCCGGUGACAAACCGGAGGAAGGUGGGGAUGACGUCAAAUCAUCAUGCCCCUUAUGAUUUGGGCUACACACGUGCUACAAUGGACAAUACAAAGGGCAGCGAAACCGCGAGGUCAAGCAAAUCCCAUAAAGUUGUUCUCAGUUCGGAUUGUAGUCUGCAACUCGACUACAUGAAGCUGGAAUCGCUAGUAAUCGUAGAUCAGCAUGCUACGGUGAAUACGUUCCCGGGUCU